UACGAAGGGGGCUAGCGUUGUUCGGAUUUACUGGGCGUAAAGCGCACGUAGGCGGCUUCUUAAGUCGGUGGUGAAAUCCUGGAGCUCAACUCCAGAACUGCCUUCGAUACUGGGAGCUCGGAGUCCGGGAGAGGUGAGUGGAACUGCGAGUGUAGAGGUGAAAUUCGUAGAUAUUCGCAAGAACACCAGUGGCGAAGGCGGCUCACUGGCCCGGUACUGACGCUGAGGUGCGAAAGCG
This 238-nucleotide ribosomal RNA is filed under the name uncultured bacterium. Its description in RNAcentral is "partial 16S ribosomal RNA". It matches the Rfam family "Bacterial small subunit ribosomal RNA", at positions 524 to 761 of the family's 1533-position model. The record is from RNAcentral.